RNAcentral lists this unclassified non-coding RNA (345 nucleotides) under soil metagenome. RNAcentral describes it as "partial contains 5.8S ribosomal RNA, internal transcribed spacer 2, and large subunit ribosomal RNA". The stretch from base 1 to 120 matches the Rfam family "5.8S ribosomal RNA", at positions 35 to 154 of the family's 154-position model. The record is from RNAcentral.
GAUGAAGAACGCAGCGAAAUGCGAUACGUAAUGUGAAUUGCAGAAUUCAGUGAAUCAUCGAGUCUUUGAACGCACAUUGCGCCCCCUGGUAUUCCGGGGGGCAUGCCUGUCCGAGCGUCAUUGCUGCCCUCAAGCACGGCUUGUGUGUUGGGCCUCCGUCCUCCUCCCGGGGGACGGGCCCGAAAGGCAGCGGCGGCACCGCGUCCGGUCCUCGAGCGUAUGGGGCUUCGUCACCCGCUCUUGUAGGCCCGGCCGGCGCUUGCCGACACAUCAAUCUUUUUUCCAGGUUGACCUCGGAUCAGGUAGGGAUACCCGCUCAACUUAAGCAUAUCAAUAAGCGGAGGA